CUUCGGGGACGAUAACGGCGUCGAGCGGCGGACGGGUGAGUAAUGCCUAGGAAAUUGCCCUGAUGUGGGGGAUAACCAUUGGAAACGAUGGCUAAUACCGCAUGAUGCCUACGGGCCAAAGAGGGGGACCUUCGGGCCUCUCGCGUCAGGAUAUGCCUAGGUGGGAUUAGCUAGUUGGUGAGGUAAGGGCUCACCAAGGCGACGAUCCCUAGCUGGUCUGAGAGGAUGAUCAGCCACACUGGAACUGAGACACGGUCCAGACUCCUACGGGAGGCAGCAGUGGGGAAUAUUGCACAAUGGGCGCAAGCCUGAUGCAGCCAUGCCGCGUGUGUGAAGAAGGCCUUCGGGUUGUAAAGCACUUUCAGUCGUGAGGAAGGUGGUAGUGUUAAUAGCACUAUCAUUUGACGUUAGCGACAGAAGAAGCACCGGCUAACUCCGUGCCAGCAGCCGCGGUAAUACGGAGGGUGCGAGCGUUAAUCGGAAUUACUGGGCGUAAAGCGCAUGCAGGUGGUUUGUUAAGUCAGAUGUGAAAGCCCGGGGCUCAACCUCGGAAUAGCAUUUGAAACUGGCAGACUAGAGUACUGUAGAGGGGGGUAGAAUUUCAGGUGUAGCGGUGAAAUGCGUAGAGAUCUGAAGGGAAU
Molecule: ribosomal RNA, 641 nt
Filed under: Vibrio alginolyticus
Lineage: Bacteria; Pseudomonadati; Pseudomonadota; Gammaproteobacteria; Vibrionales; Vibrionaceae
Description: bacterial SSU rRNA
Rfam family: Bacterial small subunit ribosomal RNA
Source: RNAcentral